Molecule: long non-coding RNA, 354 nt
Filed under: Malus domestica (apple)
Lineage: Eukaryota; Viridiplantae; Streptophyta; Magnoliopsida; Rosales; Rosaceae
Description: long non-coding RNA (MDOM_LNC001516)
Source: RNAcentral
CCGUCCCUCAUCCACACCUUGUUUAGGAGCAGGUUCUUGCAGUCCUUCAACAAAGGCAUUAUCUGUCCUUCCUGAGGAAGAGCAAGGGUGUCCUUGGCUAGGUAGCACUUCUGGACCUUUAGGCCUUUGAAGUGACAACCGGGAAGGCUGUUCCUGGCUUGGGAGAACAUCUGGACCUUUAGGCCUUUGGAAAGACAACCUGGAAGGCUGUUCCUGGCUGGAUAGAACUUCUGCACCUUUUUGCCUUUGGAGAGACAACCGGCAAGGCUGUUCAGGACUGGGUAGCGCUUCUGGAUCUUUGUUCCUCUGAAGAGACAACCGGCAAGGCUGUUCCUCUUUGGGUAGCACUACUCG